UAAUCGCUGACGAGUGGCGGACGGGUGAGUAAUGCUUGGGAACUUGCCUUUGCGAGGGGGAUAACAGUUGGAAACGACUGCUAAUACCGCAUAACGUCUACGGACCAAACGGGGCUUAGGCUCCGGCGCAAAGAGAGGCCCAAGUGAGAUUAGCUAGUUGGUAAGGUAAAGGCUUACCAAGGCAACGAUCUCUAGCUGUUCUGAGAGGAAGAUCAGCCAUACUGGAACUGAGACACGGUCCAGACUCCUACGGGAGGCAGCAGUGGGGAAUAUUGCACAAUGGGGGAAACCCUGAUGCAGCCAUGCCGCGUGUGUGAAGAAGGCCUUCGGGUUGUAAAGCACUUUCAGUUGUGAGGAAAAGUUAGUAGUUAAUACCUGCUAGCCGUGACGUUAACAACAGAAGAAGCACCGGCUAACUCCGUGCCAGCAGCCGCGGUAAUACGGAGGGUGCGAGCGUUAAUCGGAAUUACUGGGCGUAAAGCGCACGCAGGCGGUUUGUUAAGCUAGAUGUGAAAGCCCCGGGCUCAACCUGGGAUGGUCAUUUAGAACUGGCAGACUAGAGUCUUGGAGAGGGGAGUGGAAUUCCAGGUGUAGCGGUGAAAUGCGUAGAUAUCUGGAGGAACAUCAGUGGCGAAGGCGACUCCCUGGCC
This 650-nucleotide ribosomal RNA is filed under the name uncultured marine bacterium. RNAcentral's name for it is "bacterial SSU rRNA". It matches the Rfam family "Bacterial small subunit ribosomal RNA", at positions 81 to 734 of the family's 1533-position model. The record is from RNAcentral.